GAUGAACGCUGGCGGCGUGCCUAAUACAUGCAAGUCGAGCGAACAGACGAGGAGCUUGCUCCCCUGACGUUAGCGGCGGACGGGUGAGUAACACGUGGAUAACCUACCUAUAAGACUGGGAUAACUUCGGGAAACCGGAGCUAAUACCGGAUAAUAUAUUGAACCGCAUGGUUCAAUAGUGAAAGACGGUUUUGCUGUCACUUAUAGAUGGAUCCGCGCCGCAUUAGCUAGUUGGUAAGGUAACGGCUUACCAAGGCAACGAUGCGUAGCCGACCUGAGAGGGUGAUCGGCCACACGGGAACUGAGACACGGUCCAGACUCCUACGGGAGGCAGCAGUAGGGAAUCUUCCGCAAUGGGCGAAAGCCUGACGGAGCAACGCCGCGUGAGUGAUGAAGGUCUUCGGAUCGUAAAACUCUGUUAUUAGGGAAGAACAAAUGUGUAAGUAACUAUGCACGUCUUGACGGUACCUAAUCAGAAAGCCACGGCUAACUACGUG
This 497-nucleotide ribosomal RNA is filed under the name uncultured bacterium. RNAcentral describes it as "partial 16S ribosomal RNA". It matches the Rfam family "Bacterial small subunit ribosomal RNA", at positions 28 to 507 of the family's 1533-position model. The record is from RNAcentral.